This 803-nucleotide ribosomal RNA is filed under the name uncultured bacterium. RNAcentral's name for it is "bacterial SSU rRNA". It matches the Rfam family "Bacterial small subunit ribosomal RNA", at positions 8 to 811 of the family's 1533-position model. The record is from RNAcentral.
AGAGUUUGAUCCUGGCUCAGGAUGAACGCUGGCGGCGUGCUUAACACAUGCAGGUCGAACGGGAAAUAUUUCAUUGAGACUUCGGUGGAUUUGAUCUAUUUCUAGUGGCGGACGGGUGAGUAACGCGUGGGUAACCUGCCUUAUACAGGGGGAUAACAGUCAGAAAUGGCUGCUAAUACCGCAUAAGCGCACAGAGCUGCAUGGCUCAGUGUGAAAAACUCCGGUGGUAUAAGAUGGACCCGCGUUGGAUUAGCUUGUUGGCAGGGUAACGGCCUACCAAGGCGACGAUCCAUAGCCGGCCUGAGAGGGUGAACGGCCACAUUGGGACUGAGACACGGCCUAGACUCCUACGGGAGGCAGCAGUGGGGAAUAUUGCACAAUGGGGGAAACCCUGAUGCAGCGACGCCGCGUGAAGGAAGAAGUAUCUCGGUAUGUAAACUUCUAUCAGCAGGGAAGAUAGUGACGGUACCUGACUAAGAAGCCCCGGCUAACUACGUGCCAGCAGCCGCGGUAAUACGUAGGGGGCAAGCGUUAUCCGGAUUUACUGGGUGUAAAGGGAGCGUAGACGGUGUGGCAAGUCUGAUGUGAAAGGCAUGGGCUCAACCUGUGGACUGCAUUGGAAACUGUCAUACUUGAGUGCCGGAGGGGUAAGCGGAAUUCCUAGUGUAGCGGUGAAAUGCGUAGAUAUUAGGAGGAACACCAGUGGCGAAGGCGGCUUACUGGACGGUAACUGACGUUGAGGCUCGAAAGCGUGGGGAGCAAACCAGGAUUAGAUACCCUGGUAGUCCACGCCGUAAACGAUG